CAAUAGCGUAUAUUUAAGUUGUUGCAGUUAAAAAGCUCGUAGUUGGAUUUCGGUUAAGAGCGACCGGUCCGCCGUUUGGUGUGCACUGGUUGGUUUUAACUUCCUGUAGAGGACGUGCUCUGGGUUUAACGACCUGGACUCGGAGUCUACGUGGUUACUUUGAAAAAAUUAGAGUGUUCAAAGCGGGCUUACGCUCGAAUAUUUCAGCAUGGAAUAACACUAUAGGACUCCUGUCCUAUUUCGUUGGUCUCGGGACGGGAGUAAUGAUUAAGAGGAACAGUUGGGGGCAUUCGUAUUUCAUUGUCAGAGGUGAAAUUCUUGGAUUUAUGAAAGACGAACUUCUGCGAAAGCAUUUGCCAAGGAUGUUUNCAUUA
This 374-nucleotide ribosomal RNA is filed under the name uncultured eukaryote. RNAcentral's name for it is "partial 18S ribosomal RNA". It matches the Rfam family "Eukaryotic small subunit ribosomal RNA", at positions 592 to 975 of the family's 1831-position model. The record is from RNAcentral.